This 829-nucleotide ribosomal RNA is filed under the name Gelasinospora saitoi. Its description in RNAcentral is "eukaryotic LSU rRNA". It matches the Rfam family "Eukaryotic large subunit ribosomal RNA", at positions 74 to 936 of the family's 3401-position model. The record is from RNAcentral. Lineage: Eukaryota; Fungi; Ascomycota; Sordariomycetes; Sordariales; Sordariaceae.
AUUGCCCUAGUAACGGCGAGUGAAGCGGCAACAGCUCAAAUUUGAAAUCUGGCUUCGGCCCGAGUUGUAAUUUGUAGAGGAAGCUUUUGGUGAGGCACCUUCUGAGUCCCCUGGAACGGGGCGCCAUAGAGGGUGAGAGCCCCGUAUAGUCGGAUGCCGAUCCAAUGUAAAGCUCCUUCGACGAGUCGAGUAGUUUGGGAAUGCUGCUCAAAAUGGGAGGUAAAUUUCUUCUAAAGCUAAAUACCGGCCAGAGACCGAUAGCGCACAAGUAGAGUGAUCGAAAGAUGAAAAGCACUUUGAAAAGAGGGUUAAAUAGCACGUGAAAUUGUUGAAAGGGAAGCGUUUGUGACCAGACUUGCGCCGUUCCGAUCAUCCGGUGUUCUCACCGGUGCACUCGGGACGGCACAGGCCAGCAUCGGUUUUGGCGGGGGGACAAAGGCCCUGGGAACGUAGCUCCUCCGGGAGUGUUAUAGCCCAGGGCGUAAUGCCCUCGCCGGGACCGAGGUUCGCGCAUCUGCAAGGAUGCUGGCGUAAUGGUCAUCAACGACCCGUCUUGAAACACGGACCAAGGAGUCAAGGUUUUGCGCGAGUGUUUGGGUGUAAAACCCGCACGCGUAAUGAAAGUGAACGUAGGUGAGAGCUUCGGCGCAUCAUCGACCGAUCCUGAUGUAUUCGGAUGGAUUUGAGUAAGAGCGUUAAGCCUUGGACCCGAAAGAUGGUGAACUAUGCUUGGAUAGGGUGAAGCCAGAGGAAACUCUGGUGGAGGCUCGCAGCGGUUCUGACGUGCAAAUCGAUCGUCAAAUCUGAGCAUGGGGGCGAAAGACUAAUC